Molecule: small nucleolar RNA, 136 nt
Organism: Castor canadensis (American beaver)
Lineage: Eukaryota; Metazoa; Chordata; Mammalia; Rodentia; Castoridae
Source: Ensembl
AGGCAUUGCCUUGGAACCUCUGUGUGUCUGGCCCGUGGCCUCAGGGGUCUAUGGCACUGCUAGAGCAGACCCAGCUUGUUCAGAUCCGGGACUGCUUAGUGCCACCUUAGCGAUUCCUUGGCAGCAAGCAACAUGC